Molecule: ribosomal RNA, 480 nt
Filed under: uncultured Lewinella sp.
Lineage: Bacteria; Pseudomonadati; Bacteroidota; Saprospiria; Saprospirales; Lewinellaceae
Description: bacterial SSU rRNA
Rfam family: Bacterial small subunit ribosomal RNA
Source: RNAcentral
GAUGAACGCUAGCGGGAGGCCUAAUACAUGCAAGUCGAGCGAGAAAGUCUUCUUCGGAAGGCCGGAAAGCGGCGCACGGGUGAGUAACGCGUACGUAAUCUACCUUAUACAGAGGAAUAGCCCUGGGAAACUGGGAUUAAUACCUCAUAGUCUUUCACUACCGCAUGGUGGUGGAAGUAAAGUUCCGACGGUAUAAGAUGAACGUGCGUGCUAUUAGCUAGUUGGUGAGGUAACGGCUCACCAAGGCGAUGAUAGCUAGGGGGCGUGAGAGCGUGAUCCCCCACACGGGUACUGAGACACGGACCCGACUCCUACGGGAGGCAGCAGUAAGGAAUAUUGGACAAUGGAGGCAACUCUGAUCCAGCCAUCCCGCGUGCAGGAUGAAUGCGCUAAGCGUUGUAAACUGCUUUUAGAUAGGAUGAAACCCAGACAUUUAUGUUUGGCUGACGUUAUUAUCAGAAUAAGCACCGGCUAACUCCG